AGGCGGUUAGUAUAUGAAGUACAUUAGUUUGUCAUGCUAAAGGCGCAUAGUUAGUUAAGCACCGCCUG
This 68-nucleotide transfer RNA is filed under the name Ostrea edulis (European flat oyster). RNAcentral describes it as "tRNA-Asp". Lineage: Eukaryota; Metazoa; Mollusca; Bivalvia; Ostreida; Ostreidae. The record is from RNAcentral.